UACGGAGGGUGCAAGCGUUAUCCGGAUUCACUGGGUUUAAAGGGUGCGUAGGAGGGCAGGUAAGUCCGUGGUGAAAUCUCCAAGCUUAACUUGGAAACUGCCAUGGAUACUAUCUGUCUUGAAUAUUGUGGAGGUGAGCGGAAUAUGCCAUGUAGCGGUGAAAUGCUUAGAUAUGACAUAGAACACCAAUUGCGAAGGCAGCUCGCUACACAUAUAUUGACUCUGAGGCACGAAAGCGUGGGGAUCAAACAGG
This 253-nucleotide ribosomal RNA is filed under the name uncultured bacterium. RNAcentral describes it as "partial 16S ribosomal RNA". It matches the Rfam family "Bacterial small subunit ribosomal RNA", at positions 524 to 776 of the family's 1533-position model. The record is from RNAcentral.